Molecule: long non-coding RNA, 418 nt
Organism: Neofelis nebulosa (Clouded leopard)
Lineage: Eukaryota; Metazoa; Chordata; Mammalia; Carnivora; Felidae
Exons: 2
Source: RefSeq, a predicted model, not a curated record
AUUGGCUCUCACUGGUCCAUGGAGGGAAAAGACAAUUCUUGAACCUUCCAGAAAAUCCUACAGGAUGGAUAGCUUGAACAGCAUUCAGGACAAAGCCCAUCAGAAGGAAAAGAAGGAUCAUCUUCUAAGAAAAUAUGACUGCCUCUGAAGCCAAAUUAUGUCAAGAUAUAAGAUCAGGAAUGUCCAGAUGCUGUUUAUCCCAUCUUAAUUAAAUUUGGACUUCUUUGGGGGAAAAAAAGUACCUCAGUUCUAGGAAAAGUUUUUUGGACUCUGAGGCUGUUUGGAUUCUGUUUUAUGAAAAUAAACAUUUUAAUCAAGAUACCAUCAUUCCUAGAUUUUCACUGCGAAGGUAUUUUCUGAAGCAAACCCUCUUGAGCCAAUAUAUGUUCUUAAUAAUAUUCUAUUCAAUGCUGCCCAA